RNAcentral lists this unclassified non-coding RNA (211 nucleotides) under plant metagenome. RNAcentral's name for it is "partial contains small subunit ribosomal RNA, internal transcribed spacer 1, and 5.8S ribosomal RNA". The record is from RNAcentral.
UUUCCGUAGGUGAACCUGCGGAAGGAUCAUUCAUAAUAAAGUGUUUUAUGGCACUUUUUAAAAAUCCAUAUCCACCUUGUGUGCAAUGUUAGAUCUCGUCAAUCUUGGCGAGAUUUUUAUACAUCAACUCAUUCUUUAACUAAUUUGUCUGAAAAAUAUUAUGAAUACUUAAUUCAAAAUACAACUAUCAACAACGGAUCUCUUGGCUCUC